This 68-nucleotide transfer RNA is filed under the name Drepanotermes sp. ANIC 0590. RNAcentral's name for it is "tRNA-Met". Lineage: Eukaryota; Metazoa; Arthropoda; Insecta; Blattodea; Termitidae. The record is from RNAcentral.
AGAAAAGUAAGCUAAAUUAAGCUAAUGGGUUCAUACCCCAUAUAUAGAGUCUAACACUCUCUUCUCUA